AAAAACGUUUCGAGACCCAUCUGACUGUCAAUGUAUACAGGAGGGCGUUUAGUAUCUAUCAGCACUGACAUUUCUCCCGGCAUCCAGUAGCUAAUUAUGGGAUUGAUCUCGGUGGACUUCAAACUGAAAGCCUCUCGGAGUGUACGGACAAAGUCCGUGUACGUCAUGGUUUCCUGAACGCGUACACAACGACCAAAGAUGCCUUCCUCAGGUUCAAAUUUCCAUUCUCCUUCUUUGCAUUUCCACUCACCGACCAUAGUAAAUACGGGAAUAUCCAUAACCCACCUGCAUCAUAAAUUCAGGAGACACACAUUAAAUGCAACUGAAAAAUACUAUACAUAUAAAAAACAAAUGGAAUGUCGAUACUACACAUUUAUAAACCUAAAUACCAAUUAUCAUUUGACUAUUUUAAACAAACAAAUAUAGAUUUUGCAAAUUUUCUGAUAAAAAAAUGGAGUUAAAACACAAUCAAGAUCCUAAUAUGACAUAACAAAAAACUUCUUAAAAGAACUUCAUUACUUACACGAGCAAUGCUUGUUUUGGCUCCAAACUUGGUACAAAAACAAGAUCAACACUUCUUCAACAGCAAUGUACGUUCUUAAUUUUUUAUUAAUUAUUA
This 619-nucleotide small RNA is filed under the name Arabidopsis thaliana (thale cress). RNAcentral's name for it is "ATSL196470". Lineage: Eukaryota; Viridiplantae; Streptophyta; Magnoliopsida; Brassicales; Brassicaceae. The record is from RNAcentral.